Pantherophis guttatus is the source of this 845-nucleotide non-coding RNA. The record is from RefSeq and is a predicted model, not a curated record. Lineage: Eukaryota; Metazoa; Chordata; Lepidosauria; Squamata; Colubridae.
AAUCGAGAGGCCUCUGGCGGCCAACACCAUUUUCAACAUCGGAAUAUUUUCUUUAUUUUUGUUCUCUUUGGCCACGGGAAGAGCAGGAUUAUGGAAAACAAGCAAACAACCGAAAGCAUCUUUGCCACGUUAAAGGCAGAGAGAGACUGUCGAAAGUCCCGCAGAAGCUGAGAUCCCGCAGAUCGAGAUCCCUCUCGUGGUAGCUCGGCGAGAAAGAGCUCGGGGCAAGGGCCCGAUGGAGAGCCGGAAAGGCGAGGACGAGCAAGAAGUGGAAGCGUGCAUUCAUGCCGGUUUGCAGUACUUUGGCAGAAUAGAAUAUUUUAUUAUUAAAAUAAAAACAACCCCCAAAACACACUAAGAGAUUUUUUUAAAUUCGUGUUUUAAAAAAAAAAAUCCAAAAAGUCUCUUCAAGGCAUUAAUCUUUUUUUCCUCUGGACAUCCUUUCAGGUUUUAUAAAGAGAAUAUCAGGGCAUAGCAAGCGAAACCACCAUAUUGACAAGCUGGAAAUCAAAUCCACAGAGAGACAAAUUAAAGGCUGAAAGUGAAUGCAAUCUGAAGUAUUUGGAUUCUACUACAUACCUUUCUGCAAUUUUCCUACAAAGUGAAUUGUAUUCCACAGAAGCAUAUGCUAGUUUCAUAUGCUUCUGUUGCUUCUGUUGUUGAUAAAGAUCUGUUGCUCUUUUAGAGUAACUGUAUGCCCUGCGAUCGUCUCUUUAUGACCAAACACAAUUGCCACUUUAGAAUCUGACAAAUUUUAUACUAAUUUAUGUACUUGGAACAUUUUCAGUCAUCAUUCUUGAAAACUGUGAUACUUUCAUCAGUUAUAAAUAAAUCUGUUUAAAAUA